Molecule: RNA transcript, 4759 nt
Organism: Bombyx mori (domestic silkworm)
Lineage: Eukaryota; Metazoa; Arthropoda; Insecta; Lepidoptera; Bombycidae
Gene name: zinc finger protein 135
Exons: 2
Source: RefSeq, a predicted model, not a curated record
GCUAGAGUCAGUCAGUCGAUUGCGAGCUGCGAGUCGCGACGUGCGUAGCGCCUGCGCACGGUACCCGAGCGCCCGAUGUGCGGAGAGGGGCGCGGUGCCGGCGGGACCGGUCGCACGCCGACCUGCCGACCUUACCUACCGUUCACCACACGCACCUAGACUCCACAACUAAACUGUGCAUCAACAAACAUACGAAAGUGUUUCGUGAUCGCAAUGGACAUUACGGACAAAUGCAUCCGAUUCCCGCAAUUGGAAACUGCAUUCGCGACGUGAAUCAUGUACGUACAUAUGUGUUCUACGGCUAGUGUCCAUCGGCGCGUUGUUGACAUGCGCAUAUUAAUAACUGUUUAGAUCGCGACGAAAAAACUAAGACUCGGCCUGCCCGAACGGCGCGGAGUUGUCAGUCGACAGUGACGGAUCCAGUGAUGAGGUUGGACCAAAACUCUUGUGGCACCGGGACACGCAGAAGGCACCAGCGGGUUCGUCGGUACCAUGGCACAGGCGGCAGGCUCGCCGCCAAACACGCAGAAUCUCAACAAACGCCAGCGUCUCUCGCGUCUCCUCGACAAACUAAGUGUGCAGUUGCAAAACAAUAAUUUGUAUCCACCAACACAACAUUGGCCAGCGCUGAACCCACCAUUCCAAAACAAUAAGCCACCUGCAGAUGAGCCUUUAGAUCUCUCGGUUAAGCACGAGCAGCCAUCGCCGGCCCCCGAGAUAACGUAUACAUGCGAAACUUGCGGCCAAACCUUCACCAUGCACGACCGCCUCGCCAAACAUAUUGCUUCUCGACACAGGAAUCGCACUCCGGAGGCGGCGCGGCUAUAUGAAUGCGAGGUAUGCCUGAGACGGUUUGCUCGCUCGGACAUGCUGACCCGGCACGCUCGUCUGCACAGCGGCCUCAAGCCGUACUCGUGCUCUGCCUGCGGUCAGGUGUUCUCCCGCUCGGAUCACCUCGCAACCCACCAGCGCACACACACAGGAGAAAAGCCCUACCGGUGCCCGUCCUGCCCAUACGCUGCUUGCCGCCGCGACAUGAUCACUCGCCACAUGAGGACGCACUCAAGGCGACCGCAGCCUGCUUAAGCCAGACUUUUUCGGCAACUUUUUAUAAUUUCCUAUAGGUGUUAUUUUAAUCAGAUCCCUUAUUAUUAUUAUCAUUAUUGUUUUUGGAGACUGAAUGAUUCAUUCCAAAGUUAAAGUAUCUUGUUUGUUUUUGAUUGGUGUUUAAUAAGUAUUGUGUGUGUUCAAGAGACCCCGGCUUCUAACCAGUAGCUGACCAGAUGAUUUUGGUAAGAACGACACAUCACAUUGCACUAUUGAGAAUUGCACAGUUAAUUUGACUAAGAUUACGUUGCUGCCUUGCGAUUUUUUUUUUGGCCCAGCGAUGUCAAAUAAACUGCACAGCGCAAUGCGAUCUGUCGUCGGUGUUUUUGUAGAGACUUUUGUUGUACCUAUUUUUUGUUUUGUUGCUUUUUUAUUUUCAUCGAUAUUGGCUUGGGAACCAAUUAUGAAGAGGUCAUUCCUGCUCUUCUAUGAUUUGUUGUAAUCAUUUAACUCAGUACGUGUGCCAUUGAGUUUACGAAUGUUAAUUGUUUUUGUAAAUACCUAUUUGUACUUAUACCUAUAGUUGUAUAUACAUAGUUUUUAAACAUAGUUUAUGUUUUUGUUUAAUCAUAGAAUAAGCUUGCAGGCUCUUUGUUUAUCGCCUAAAAAUAUUAAACGAAAAAAAAAAAACUCUUAGGACUAUAAGACGUGCUGAGCUUGACUUUACUUGUUAUGGUCAUUUAAUGAUUUCUUAUUUAAUUAGUAUCGGGAAAGUAAUUGUUGCUUAUGUUAUAAAUAAUCAUUUUUAUAUCAUUAUCUAGGUAUAGUUAAGUACUUAAAAUACAUUUUAUGGAAUAAGCCUCACUCACAGGCAGGCCAUUCUUUUCACAUUGUUUUCUAUGUUAUUUCUAUUUCUGAGUGCCAAAACGUUUUGUUUAAACUCGUGAAUAUUAUUGUUAAAUACUACUUCCAUAUAAUAGUAUUUUCGUGAUGAAGAGUAAUUUAGUUCUGUAAGUGUAAUUAUUCAAAUAUUUAGUAAAUGAACAUCAUACCUGUUAGAUGAAGGUUUUUCAAUCUCUUUUAAAUUAACUCAGGUGUACAAUAACUACCUACUUAUUAUACGACUUACUAUGCCAUGAGGAACAUGAUUAUGUAGGUAGUUAAUUUCUAUUUGUACUUAUAACUCUAUACUAACUCUUACUUAUAAGAGCUGCAUACCAGCAAAAUCUUUACAUCCUACAUAAAGACCAGUCCAGAUACGCUUUAAGCUCCUUCUGGAAUGAGCUUCUAAAGCGGAAUUCGUAGAAUUACUUACAUGCAGGACAUAACUUUCAUGUUUUUUUGCAAAAUAUGAGAAAAAUACAAAACUAUAUGUAAAUACGUCGUUAAUGAAUAAAAUAUCACCACUAAUUUAGGACGUAAAUAAUGACUUUUAUAAAAAUUACAGAUAUAAAUUUUACUUUUGGCGGGCUGUCGAGUAAGUUUGAGAGUGUUUGACGCUGUUCUAUUUAUUUAAUACCACUCGUCAAAAACAUAUCUUAUAAAAAUUUCACAAGAGACUUAAUACCAAAAAAUCCAAAGACCGAAAGUUAAAGUUUUUAUUUGGAAACCAAAGUUAAUGGCUAUAUAAUUAGGAAAUCAAAACUAAUCUUUAUUAAUAUUAGUUUACAUAAUCAACGGAACACAAUGAAAUUAAGUAGAGUCUGAAAAAAAACUCACUCGUUUCGUUCUUUUGAAUUGUUUUUUUUGUAAUGUUCACAUAGAAUUGUUUAUAACAACAUUGUUGUAUACAUAUAGACUUUUCAAUGUUUGGAGUCUGGUAAUGUUAAAGUUGAUCUUCGUUGCCAGAAUCGAUUUUUCGAGACAGAUCAUUUUUAUACCGCCUUCAUAGGUAUACGGCUGGCUUGGAAGUUGCUGGUUACCAACGGUCAUGGACAUCAACAAUGUCGUAGGCACAAAAACGAAGCCACUGUCUACCUACCUAUCUAUAUAUCUGGCGGAAAUGUUUUCCAUUUUUUUUUAUUCUGUCACCAGUGUUCUCGUCUGGAUGUCUGCUACAUACAUACAGACGAAUAUGAAAGACCGCUCGUCAUUUAACGUAAGAGUGUAAAUAGUAGUUGUAUAAAUUAAGUCUAGUAGAUUUUAGGAUAAGUGUAAUAGAUUGUUAAAGUACCUAUGCUUGUUUACACGACUGGCUCUCUUCACUUGUUUAACGUGUUUUUGUUUUAAACGCAAUUUUCCCUCAACUUCCAAAUUCAGUUUAAUAAGGUUUUCACUUUUUUUUCGACGUGGUCAAUCGAAUAAAUAUGUUACGUAUCUAUUACGCAGUUGUAGUGCUCCUUUUAUGGUGCACCUCAUUACUAGCCUGCAAGGGAAAUAUUUUUUUCUAAUGUUUAAAUUUCAAAGCAAUCCAACGACCAAACCUAGUGUAAGUGCGAGCUCAAAGUGCUUCAAAAAUGUUUCGUCUUUUGACGGAGCGAAUCGAAGUCUUGAAUCACUGCACAAUAUUAGCCAAGCUUAUUGCAUUCCUACAUGAUCGGCCAAUCGAACUAGCUCCUGUAUCGUCCUAUCUUACAAAAUUUUACCAAUUGUAUAAUAUUUAACAUUCUAACCAGAUAUUAAAUCUACUACAUAUAUAUCUAGAUAUACAUAAUAAUAACUUCAUUACUUGAAACAAUCUGAUAAGUUUCAUAUUUUUUAAACGUAUGAAUAGUAAUUAAAUAAUUAGUUAUACUGUUAUAAAAAUAUAUAGAUUGCUCUCAAUUAAUAAUACAAUUUGGUUCAGUAAAAUAAUGAAUGUUGCUCAUGAAAGAUUUCAUCUUUUAUAAGAUACUCCUGUUAUGAUGAAGCAUUUAUAUCGCAUUUUAAUUUUGUACACAGCUUUAGAAAAAUAGGUACAUAGGGGUUUGAGAUAAGUUAAGUCUACUCGUAUUAGCGUAUAAGCUAGUAAUGUUCAUGAUUCAUUCAUCAUUCAAUGAUUCUCGCUCAUCGAUAGCCGAAAACUGGAUGACACUUCUGAAUAUCUGUGUUUUAGCGAACGCGCAAUUUAUCUCAAACUUUGGCAACACAUCAAAUUAUAAGUAAGUAUUAUCAUUUAAAUCGGCAAAAUUGCGAAGUGUAUAGGCCUAUAUCACCUUAUUAACUAUUGGGGAAAAGAGUUUUUUUUUUAAACACAGAUCAACUCAAUAUCGAUGUGUAUAUUCAAUCUUUUAAGAAUAUAAAUCGUAGGUAGAUUCGAUGAUACUAUAAUUAAUUUAGUUUAGUAAAUAAUGUUCUUAGCGGAGUGUUAUGCUUUAUAUAAAAAUACUAUAAUCAAAUUUUAAUGUUUUGAUCUUAUAAUAAGGAGACGUCUGAGUAUAUUCAUUCGUAUUUUUCGAUGUAGGUAAGUAGUAGGUACUUCAGGUCUUAAGGAUCUCAGUGAGUCAGAAGGAUAAGUUUUAAAUCAAUGUUGUGUAUUGUUAAUUCGUAAUUAUAACCUAUACUAAUAAUUGCUGUUUGGAAGUAAAACCAUUAGAGGCUACUACGAAAAGUUGUCUGUUUUAGUUAUUCAAGUUAACGUUUUCAUUUAAUUGUCAAACAAGUGCCAGCAUUGACUCGAAAACUCGAAAAUCGUUUGUCUACUGCUGCACUACUAUGAUUUUAUUCGCGUAUGUUUUUAUUUUGCAAUGUUUAAGCUGUCAUAUUUUAGUUGUCAAUAAACGUUUUUAUUGUC